AUUGAACGCUGGCGGCAUGCCUUACACAUGCAAGUCGAACGGUAACGGGCCUUCGGGUGCCGACGAGUGGCGAACGGGUGAGUAAUACAUCGGAACGUGCCCGAUCGUGGGGGAUAACGAGGCGAAAGCUUUGCUAAUACCGCAUACGAUCUACGGAUGAAAGCAGGGGACCGCAAGGCCUUGCGCGGACGGAGCGGCCGAUGGCAGAUUAGGUAGUUGGUGGGAUAAAAGCUUACCAAGCCGACGAUCUGUAGCUGGUCUGAGAGGAUGAUCAGCCACACUGGGACUGAGACACAGCCCAGACUCCUACGGGAGGCAGCAGUGGGGAAUUUUGGACAAUGGGCGCAAGCCUGAUCCAGCCAUGCCGCGUGCAGGAUGAAGGCCUUCGGGUUGUAAACUGCUUUUGUACGGAACGAAAAGCCUUCUUUUAAUACAGGAGGGUCAUGACGGUACCGUAAGAAUAAGCACCGGCUAACUACGUG
RNAcentral lists this ribosomal RNA (482 nucleotides) under uncultured bacterium. RNAcentral describes it as "partial 16S ribosomal RNA". It matches the Rfam family "Bacterial small subunit ribosomal RNA", at positions 30 to 507 of the family's 1533-position model. The record is from RNAcentral.